GGGUGAGAAACACUUAGUCAGCAUAAUCCCUGCCAAUCACACCAGGGCUUCCGGUAAUACCAAGAGGGGAGCGGGUGAGAAGGUGGAUUCUGAAUCUGACCACGUAACUCUGCACUGCCACGAAGGCCCCAGCUCAUGCCCCGCGCUCAGCAGAGAGUGGGCUUGGGCCUCAUCUUCCUGUAACCGGGGGCUGGGGACCACUUUGAUCUCACUGUUCCCCUUGCUGCUGUUCACACCAGUACGGCGCCUUCAAGAAGUUAUCCCAGGGCAAUUUUCCACCUUUGAAGUCCCCGGAAAACCCUGCCAAAAGCCGUUCUGGUGUGAGGAUGCUGCAGGGGCAGGCAGCCUGGUGCCGCGGCCUCCCGGGUGCCAGAACUGGAACAUCGAGACAUCAAAGGCGAAGGUGGCAGCAGGGCGAUGAGUAAGCUCCGCUGCAGGCUUGGCCUCGGCCCCAGAAGCCUUCUCCUCAUCUCCCAGUGGUGGCUGAGCAGGACUAGGGAGACGACCCAGAGAGCCUGGAGACCUGGCUUGGGGGAAGCCCUGUGGAUGCUUCUGGAGGCGGACACUUCCCUGCUGCUCUGUGCCUGGUAAAGGCACCGACCACUGCAGAGCAGAAGCAGAGUCCAAUCCUGGCUCCAAAGCGCCCCUGACUGCAAAGCUUUGGUACUGUUAUUACCACCGUGAAACAGGUGGGGAAACUGAAGCAUGAGGAGCUUGAGUAAUGUGUGUUAGAUCACGCAACCAGUAGUGGCAGAGCUGGAAUUCCGACCUGGGACUGCCUCCAAAGUUCUUGCGUAAGAAUACAGCUGCUACACUUGCCCUUCUUCAGCUGAGACCAAGGAGGGAAUUCUGAUUGAAAGCAAACCAGGGAGGAAAGAUGCACUAGCACUGACCUGUAACAGGUCAAUCUGUGCCAUGGCAUGGCGAGACGAAGUGGAGAACCCAUGUCUCAUUGGAAUCCCGGAUCAUCGUCUCCACGAAGGCUGUCUUCUGCAGCACUCCAGGGACUCACGGCUCUGGGCUUAUUGCUCAGUGUCAUGUGACAGUUUGUACCAGGCACAUCUCCAGAAUUGUUGUCCUUUAGAAAAACAUCUUGGUUCCAAUGAGAAAACAAAUAAAGAAAGCUAGAGUCUUAAAAAGCGAAUUCGGAAAUCAAUCUAUCGACCAGAUCAUUAUCGGGGGCGGGGGGGCCGAAGGGGUCGGGGAGGGCCAUGGUGGUGAAUAGAGAACAACUUUUCAUAGCUCUCCUUUACAGGAAAAUCCAGUAUGGUUUAUCUCUUCCCAAAAUAUUCAUGAUGGUCAUGAAGUAACCCCUGAGCCUGGAAUUGAGUUAAGUUUGGUAUUCACAAAGCUGUGUAACUUUGAACAGGUUGCUUCCCUUCUCUGAGCCUCCGUUCCCCUAUCUGGAAAUCUUGUUAGAUCAUUUCUUUUUUUUUUUUUUUUUUUUUCAGACGGAGUCUUGCUCUGUAGCCCAGGCUAGAGUGCAGUGGCACAUCUCGGCUCACUGCAAGCUCCACCUCCUGGGUUCACGCCAUUCUCCUGCCUCAGCCUCCCAAGUAGCUGGGACUACAGGCACCCACCACCACGCCUGGCUAAUUUUUUGUGUUUUUUAGUAGAGACGGGGUUUCACUGUGUUAGCCAGGAUGGUCUCGAACUCCUGACCUCGUGAUCCGCCCGCCUCGGCCUCCCAAAGUGCUGGGAUUACAGGCGUGAGCCACCGUGCCCGGCCCUUGUUAGAUAGUUUCUAAGAUCAUUAUAGUUCUAACAUUCUGUGAAUUUAGUGCCUGGCAUACACUAAGUGGAAGGAGAGAGAAAGAAAGGAAGGGAGAGGUGAAGGGAGGGAGAAAUCAAUCUGUGAAAGCUGUCUUUCAUAGAGACAAGAAUGAGUGUCUUUUCUGCCUCCAAGGACACUGCCUCUAUCUCCUCAGCACAUGCUGAGUUGAACUGUUGAUAAUGUAAUAAGCUCUGCCUCAUUCUCCCUUGAAAUACCACUUUUUAGCCUGUGUUGUCACAGAAGAAAAUGAGUCAAUUAGAGAAUUCAAGCAAGAGUGCUCUUUAAAAAGGACAUGUAGAUAGUUAAUUGCAGUCAAUUAGACCUGUUGUCUUGGUGGCUGGGUCUCCAGAUAGGAGAAGAAUGGGAAACGCCCAAAGGUUACUCAUCUCUGGCAAGGAAACGCUGAGCUGUGCCAUUUGACAGUGGCAUCCAGGAAGUGUUGGAGCAUCCAACCCUGUCUCCAGGGAGGCUGGCCUCUUCAUCCCUGAUCUCAUCUGCAGGACUUUUUCCCCACUAAGAGGAGCAAAGUUCAAGCACUUUCUCCUUGCCACUGGAGAGAUGAGACACAAAUCAUAGUUAAAAGAAUGGCAUGGCAGGGCUGUGGGACAGCAGGACACACUGUUCUCAGGGAAAUGGUUAUUGGGCAUUUUGCAGAAUGUUUUGAGGAAGCAACUGCUCCUAAGAAUACUGUUAUGUUUGAGCAAUUUCAGACAAAUCUUGGAAAGUUUCUUCACAUGGUGAUAUCAGUUAGGCCCUAUCAACCUCUUCAAAUGAAGCCAAAAUUACCUCUUCUAACCCAACUCCAUAGCUGGUAGAAAUCUAGUGCUACCCCAGAUUCCUGCCAACCUCCAUGUCAUGGAGAUUGGCAACCAAAUUUAUAUGUUGAAGUCCCAGCCCCCAGUACCUUGGAAUGUGCCCUUAUUUGGAAAUAGGUUGCUGUAGACUUAAUUAGCUAAAGUACAGCCACAUCCAAGUAGGGUGAACCCCUAAUCCAAUAUAACUGCCAUCCUUAUUAGAAAAAGAAAUUUGGAGAUUGCCCCACCCCUCGAACCCACACAAACACGGAGAAUGCCAUGGGAAGAUGAAGGCAGAGAUUGGGAUGGUGCUUCUACAGGCCAAGGAAUGUGAAGGACUGCCAGCAGCCCCCAGAAGCUAGGCAGGAAGCAUAGAACAGUUCCUUCCUCAGAACCCUCAGAAGGAACCAACCCUACCAACACCUUGAUCUCAGACUUCCAGUCUCCAGAACUGUAAGACCAUAAAUCGUGUUGCUGAAGCCACUGUCUUACAGUUUGUGGUAUUUCGUUACGGGAGCCCUAGCGAAUGAAUACACUCUGCCCCUACUGAGGAGAUGGUGUUAUGGGAGCUUUGGUCCUCCAGGACCCGCCUCCAGAGCUCUGCCUUUUUCUAUACCUGCUCAACCCAGAAGUGAAACUGCGCUCCUCUUUGCCUGACCCACCACUGGGCACUCAUAUGAAGCUUAUGUGAACUUACUAAAGGUUUGAGAAGGAUGCAAGUCAAGGCCAGUCCUGAAGUGCACACUCUCCAUAAUCCCUGAAGACUCAGACUCUCCUCCUUUACCCUCUCUGUUCCCAAAGCUCCUGGAAGCUCAAAUUCCUUCUGAGCUUUCUCCAUUUUUUUUUUUUUUUUUUUUUUUUUUUUUUUUUUUACAGAGCAGUUUCCCACAUCCUCUGAGAAUUUGCCACCUGCUGCCACCCAGACCCUGAGGAAAGACCCCUUCCUCCAAAGCUCUUUUCAACAUAUUUCUCCAGGCAAAGCUAUUUUCUUCCUCACUGGCACAAAACAUUUUUAAAAAUUAAAUCAUUGUCACUGAUUAAAACAAAAAGAUACUGACUGUAUUAAUUUUCUAUUGCUGCAUAACAACUUACUACCUAUUUAGUAGUUUAAAACACACAUGCAUUUUCUCACUGUUUCUGUAGGUCAGGAAUCCAGGCACCACUUAGUCGGGUUUUCUGUUUAAGAUCUUCUCAAGGCUGCAGUCAAGGUGUUGACAGGGCUGUGUUCUCAUCUGGAGGUUUGACAGGGAAGAGUUCACUUCCAAACUAGCUUGGGCUGUUGGCAGAAUUCAUUUCCUUGUGGUUGGAAGAGGCAAGCCCUCAGCAUCUUGUUGGCUGUGGGCUAGAGGGUGCUCUCAGCUCCCAGAGGCAGCUUCUCCUUGCCAUAUAGGCUUUCCAACAUGGCUGUUCACCUCCUUAAGCCAACAAAGAGAGUCUCUAGAGUGAGUCAGUUAACAAGACAGAAACUUUCACAAUGUAAGGUAAUCAUAGGAGUUACAUUUCAUCACCUUUGUCAUAUUUUCUUGGUUAGAAACCAGAGGUCCCACCCACACUUAAAGGGAGAGAAUUACACAAAGGUGUGAGAGUUAAGGAUCAUGGGAAGCCAUUUUAAAAUUUGUCUGCAUAUGACAAUGCAGCAGGUACAAUUGGCUCCCCGGCAGCCAGCCCACCCCCUAGCUCCAGGGGAAAGCCUGAUUGGUCCAAAGGUAACCAUGCUCUUUUCCAUGAUUGGUUUGGGAAUGAGCAUGUGACCCAUCUCCAGCCUAUGAUGUGAGAAGUGUACUGAGUAACUUCUUAGUUUCCUUGCUCCUAAGACGGAACUAGGAAAAAUGAUGGUUUCUUUUCUUCCUCAGGAUGUUUUAGUGUUUAGUUGGAACCCUGGAUCUGCAGCAACCAUCUUGCUACCAACUUGAGGGUGAAGCCAGCCGUAAGAAUAGCAGGCCGGAAAGAUGGAAGAAACCUGGCUUUCCAAUGUCAUCAUUUGGUUGCUGAAUCAAUUGUACCUAAAGCUCACUCUAUCUGUUUUACCUUGAGUUAGGGUUGCCGUUGCUUGCAGCUAAACGCAUCUUCUUUUUUUUUUUUUUUUUUUUUUUUUUUGAGAAGGAGUCUUACUCUAUCACCCAGGUUGGAGUGCAGUGGCGCGAUCUCAACUCACUGCAACCUCCACCUCCCAGGUUCAAGUGAUUCUUGUGCCUCAGCCUCCCACGUAGCUAGGAUUACAGGCGUGAGCCACCACGCCCGGCUUAUUUUUGUAUUUUUGGUAGAGAAGGGGUUUCGCCAUGUUGCCCAGGCUGGUCUUUAACUUCUGGACCUUAGGUGAUCCACCCGCCUCAGCCUCCCAAAGUGCUGGAAUUACUGGCAAGAUCCACCACACCCAGUCUAAAUGCAUCUGAAUAUAACAUGACUCUCCUAGAGAAAAACCUGGAACCCAGAGCACCUGAAUAGAAACUCUUAAUUAUAUCAAUGAGGAAUAGUUAACUUAGCCAAGUUUCCAUUGAAUAUGAAGAACUGUAAAAUAAUGUCAGUUCUAGCCAAGAACUGAAAAGUAAUGUCAGUACUCUAUAAUGUGUAAUUCAUAGUUGCUACAUGUAAUCAGGCUUGGCCAAUUGUUUCCAGGAAGAUGGCACCCUCAUUUCUGAAUGAGGAUGACCAUUUUCCACUAAUCCAGAGGUAAAACAGUCAUUGUAACUGCACUGAAAUUUGCUGUAUCAAGUGAGACAUGAAGGUAAAUGUCAUUGGCCCAGAGUAAUUAGUCUUUUCCAGUGCUUAAAGGAAGGGAGAGAAACUAAUGCCUAUUGAGUGCCUUCAAAGCUUCUGCAAUGUGCUGGUACCCACAUGUUUCCAAUUAUUCCUCACAACACUAUGGAGAGGUUAUUUUGCCUGUUUUGCUGAUCAGGGAACUGAGACUCACAGAGUGACACCAACCCAUCAGUAUUUCAGGUUUCUGGGGAGGGUCCAGAGAGCAAGGGGGAAGCUGCUAAUUGCUUGUUGGUUCAAGAGAAAUGUUAUCUCAGUAGACUAACGUAUGGACUUUCUGAUGUCAGAAAAUGCAAACUAUGUAGUGUAACCUGUUUGCCAUUUUUUCUUUGUAUCCGCAAACUGACAGCAAAAUAUAUUGCACAAGUAUUAUAAAUCUGUUCAGUUCAAGUGCCAGAGAACAUUUACUCUGCUUCCUUCAUGAGGUAAUUCAAAACUUUGUUUUUAAUAUUUAUUGAGUGUCUGGGUAGGUAAACUGCUAUGCCGUCCUAUGGGGAAUUUCAGAUGUGUUGUCUGUGUGUGUGUGUGUGUGUAUGUGUGUGUGUGUGUGGUGUUUUCUGGUUUUGAUUGUUGACGUUUUCUUGAUUUUUUUUGACAGGAGCAUCUUUAGAUAUUUAUUUAUUUUAUAAUUCAUACAUACAUAUAGUAAAAAGUUCAGAUAGUUUUAAAAUAUAGUGAUGUGUAAAUCUCCCCUCACUUGUGAGCCCCAGGCAUUCAGCUCCCCUCCCUAGACGCAAUUAUUGUAGUCAGUUCAAAGCUUGUUUGUGCACAUACAAGUCUCUGUGUAUAUCCUCUACACACACCCAGAAGAGCAUACUAUACAUGCUCUAGACUGUGUUAUGUUUCUUUGAAUGGCUACGAUGUAAUUUAUUAAUCCAGUUCCCUAAUAAUAGGCAUUUAGGUACUUUUCAUGUUUUUCUCAAUGUGUAAUUGUACCAUUAAAAUUCUUGGGUUUUUUUUUGGUUUUUUGGUUUUUUAUUAAGAGUCUCGCUCUGUUGCCCAGGCUGGAGUGCAGUGGCGUGAUGUCAGCUCACUGCAACCUCCGCCUCCCAUGUUCAAACAAUUCUCGUGCCUCAGGCUUCCGAGUAGCUGGGAUUACAGUCGCCCACCACCAUGCCUGGUUAAUUUUUUUGUAUUUUUUAGUAGAGACAGGGUUUCACCAUGUUGGCCAGGCUGGUCUCAAACUCCUGACCUCGAGUGAUCCGCCUCUCUUGGCUUCCCAAAGUGUUGGGAUUACAGGCAUUAGCCACAGCGAAAAUCCUUGUAUUCAUGCCUUUGCCCAUGUUUGCAAGUAUAACUGGGAGAUAAAAUGCUAGAAUUGCAGGGUCCAAAAAAAAGCACAUUUUAAUUUUAACAACUAUAACCCAGUUGCCUUCCAAAGAGGCUGUACACAUGUUUCCCUGUCUCAAACAGUGGUGAGCAUGCCUGCUCCCCUACAAACUCACCAGCUCAGAGCAUUAUCAGGCUUCUCAUCUCUGCCAACCUGGUAAGUACAAAGGGCAUCUCUUGUAGUUUCGGUUGCAUUUUUCUCAUUAUGAGAUUGAGCAGCAGACAAUGUCUUUAAAAGACUUAUUUUGCUCUGGGUUUUAAUCUUAAAAUACUCUAAAUCCUCUUAGAAGUAGGUAGGGUCAGAUCUUCAAUCUGGAUGGAUUUACGUAAUGGGUCUAUGAAAGGGAUAGAAAGUCAAAGCAAGGGGGUGAGGCGGGGGAAUGAUGCGAAGUCAAAGCCCUCCCCCUCGGGGGCCCCUAGCCCAUCCCUGAUCCCUCACCCUUUGCAGGGCAUGUCCAGAGCUGCCACUGCCCUGGGCCUCCACCCCACAGCCCAGGACCACACCUUAACCUGGAAAGUCGUGGACCUCCUCAGGGGAGCUCAGGGAUCAGAUGGGCCGAUGGGUGUUACUGUGGCCAGGAGCACUGGGUCUUGAGUAUGUGGGUGGAACUUUCCCUCAUCCCCUGACCACGUCUAACCACAUGGCCUCUCCACUUUGAUAGUGGCGAGAAGAGUAGCCUCUUGCUUUUGCAUGUUUUCCUAAUCACAGCGUGCUUUCUUGUCUGCUAUUUCAUUUGACUUUUUUCAACCAGCCGCUGAGGUGGGGAUUAUUAGCACGCCCUUUGCAGAUGAGGAAACUGAAGCCCAGGGAGCUUUGGCAACCUGCCCAAGGUCACACAGCCAGUGAAGGAAAGGGCUGAAAUCAAACCAGGCCUGUCUGACUGCAAGGCAGGGUCUUACGGCUGCCUCCGGUGGGUAGGUCCGGGACCCAGCUGGUUUCCGUCCUGUGGCUCAGGUGCGAGGAGAGCCUCCCUGGGCCACCUGGGGAAGUCUGACUGACGUGCCAGAUCCUCACAGAACAAAGGUAAGGCCUCAGCCUUCCCCCUGGCCCAGGUCUUUCCAUGUCCAGUGCAUUCCUGAAUGCUCCCAGUACUCUGGAAAAUGGGGAUUCAUGCUGCCAUUUUAAUUGGAACCCAAUCUGUUCUGACUUCAAAUCUAGUGCUCCUUCUCCAUCCACCCACCCUCCCUGAACCAUGCCCAGGAGAUCGAGAGAUUUUCCUAAUAAACAAGUCAUGUGCUACAAUGCAUGUGCUACACAACCACUGCCCGCUUUGUCUCUCCCCCUAGGAGAGAAGGGGACUCCUGAGAGGCCCCAGCAGCGUUAUCUGGGCAGAGAAAGUGAGUUUGAAGACCUCACACUCCAUCUGGACUUUAUCAGCUCCUUUCCUGGGUAGGAUUACAGUAAACGAUUAUCUACAGAUCUGGAGCCAGCAAGGACUUUGAAGGCCCCAAUUGCCAAGGGGGUGGUGAAAUGGGGGAAGGGCUGGAGACGCAGGAGAUGAAAAAGCAGUGCAGGCAUCUUAUCUUCCUCCUGAAAUCAAACAGGCUGGGCCUGGGCAGGGUGGGAGAGGUACCCUGUCUGUGAGGCUGACAGUCUCUAGCCCUGGCUGGCCACAAAAGAUACAGAGAGAACCAGAUGAAGGCCCUUCACUGUCUUCUCCUGAUCCUCUCUCCCUCCUCCUGGUUUCUUUUAUUAAUUCAUUCAUUCACUUGCAUCUUUCAGCCUGUUAGUUACAAUAUCUGACACGCUCUGAGCUCUCCCGCCAAGCCAAGUGCUUAGCAUCCAUCCCCUCAUGUGGUCUUCACCAUGACCUUCUGGGAGAGGUGCCAGAAUUAGGCCCAUUUUACAGAUGAGGAAAAUGAAGCCCCAGAGGCUAAGUAAUAGGAUGAGCCUGGGAUCACACAGCUAGUAAAUGGUAGGGUCUGGAUUCUCUUAAACCUGCAUACAUUUAUUCUUCCAUUUCCCCCUGCCUGCCUGCUUUCCUCUCAUAAUUCAUUUAUGUAUUCAGUUUUUCAUAUUCCCAUUGCUUGUUCAUUUUGAAGUUCCUUCCCUUCUUGCUUAUGCAUUUCUUCUGUCCCUUCCUGUCUUCCUCCUGUCUCUUCCUUCCUUCCAUGACCACAUCCUGAGCCUACUGUGUGCCCUGUCACCCUGCCAUCAGGACAUGGGGCUCCUGACAGAUGACUGCUGGGGAGGGAUAUGUGAGACCACCUCCUCCAGGGUCGACCUCCUCAAAUGAGGCUUUUGGGCUGUGCCUCCCUAUGCCUGAUUUGUCCCAGUGUUUGCCAAAAAUUUUAGGCUUUGAUAAUCUUGUGAAGAUGUUUCAGCCAAGCAAGUCUUGAGACUCCAUUGGUGUGGGAGUAAAAGUGGCCUGGGGAAGCCACUUCUUGCAGUUUCCCCUAAGCAAGGCUCUUUCUGUCCUUGCUGUUCUGACAUCCACUCCCUCAGCAAACAUCAUUAAGGACCUAUCAUGGGCAGCCCCUGGGGCCCACUCCCAUCCUCUAGCUGUCUCGAUUUCAUACCUCCCUAGCUCUAGAAAAUUCACUCCUAGAAGGCAGGGAAUUGGCGUCAAGGAACGGGUUCACAGCCUUGGACUCCUUUAUUCAUUCAUCUUUUUUCCUAGCACCUAACACAGGGCCUGGCUUAGACUGAAGGCUAAUAAAUACAGGAUCAAAAGGCAGUGAACCAUCAUUCUCUGUCACUCUCCAGGAGCUGGCCCACUCACCGUGCUAGACAUUGUACUGGAUAUAGUAGUCCCGCAUCGUUGUAUCACUCUCAUUUCUAGCUGGAGAAGUACCCCUCCUUUUCUAGGUGCGGUUAUGGGGUCGCUAUCACCUGAAGUGCCCGCCACUCACCCUGUAGUCUUGGGUGGGUAUGUGAUCUCAGCUAAAACAGUCGAGGUCUCUCUCCCUGGGCUUGGAAUUGUAAACCAAGUGAUGCAGAGAAAGAAAAAACACAAGCCCUUGGAGCCCAUCACAUCCCAUCACCGAUGAGGCUGUCCAGCGGUUCUGGCCCUCAGAAGCCCCAGAGAACUCCAGUUUCUGUCCUUUUCCGAGUGUGGCUUUCUGUCCACUUUAUGGCUGCUCAACCUCCCUCCAGUAUGCCCCUUCUCCCCUUAGUCAGUGAAUGUCUGUUUCUGUGCUUGCAAAUGAUAAAUCCUAAAUGAUGCCCCAGGACAUGGUUUCCAAGGCCAGCUAUUGGAGCCUCACCAGAAAUGUUCAUUCUGCCUCAUCAGUGUCUUGGCUAUUGCCUUUUUGGAACUGCUCUGACCUCUCCUCUUUCCAUCCUGCAGCACCCCCUCUCUCAGCACCAGGGAGCUCCUCCAGGAGCACUUCCUCCCAUGUCUGUGUUCGCCGUUAAGACUGGACACACCAGGAUGAUCUUUCAACUUUGGGUCCAAAGGCCCUCAGUGGAUGUAAAAUAGGUACAUGAGGCCUUGAACUGAACAUUUUUUUCACUUCACCAUAACCUGGAUUUUCCCAGUUUAGGAGCAUCUGUUUGUCUUGAUAACGUUUGGAACAAAGUGAAAAAAACUGGACUUUGAAGAGAACUUCAGGUGAAUUACACAUUUAAGUCAGAUUUUCCAUGUCUUUGUCCCAUGUUCAGUAAUUCAAGCUGUUAGGAGCCCUCAACUUUGUACAUAUAUUUCCUUCCUAUCUCUGCCUCUUCAUACCUGGUACUUACCGUGGAAUUUGAAAUCUUUCUGUGGCUGUAAGCAAGAAAGGCGGGAAAAAUACAAGAAGUUAAAGGGGAUUGGAUGGUUCAGAUUUGGUUGAUGAAUGAGAUGGUUUAGAGGCAUGUCUUGUAAGAGAUAAUUUUCUAUGUGCCAGGUACUAUUUAUGAAUCCCACAUUAUCUUAUUAAUGCUCACAACAAGCCUUGGGGGUAAAUAGAUUAUCAUCGCCAUUUCACAGAUUAGGAAAGUGAGGUUUCAGCAGUCAAUUGCUCAAAGGUCUCCUGCUAGUGAAACAGUCGUCUAUCCAAACAGUCUGAAUGACCUGUGCACAUGGGAACGUGCCACGCAAGCCAAGGGCAGGAAGGAUGAGAAGAGGUGGGCAGAAAGCCAGCUGGGAUGAAUGAAGGACCUACUACGUGCAGGCCCAGGGUCAGACAUUUUAUUUUCUUGAUUGCACUUCAGCCUCCCAGCAGCCCUGUUUUACAGAUGAAGAAACUGAGGCUCAAAGAGCUGGAGAAAGUUGUUGCCCAGGGUCCUGUGGAGAGAAAACUCAAGCUCCGGCUGUUCCACUACUCUGGGACACCACCCCCAGUGGGAACCCCACUUUUACAAGGAUUCGAAGGUAGGUGAGGACUUAUCUCCUGAAAUAAUUAGUAUACUUACUUUUUUGUUACAUAUUCCCACUAAAGGUUUGCAGCCCCACCCAGCUUGAAUAUCAGGAGAAUGGCAACAAAAUCUGGUUCAAGGCUCACAGAAUCCACGAAAGAUGCCAGCCCCUCCACGGUUGGAGAGUGAUUCACAAAUGUGUCUUUAAGGACUUUCCCAGGCCGGGCACAGUGGCUCACACCUGUAAUCCCAGCAAGCCGAGGCGGGAGGAUCACCUGAGGUCAGGAGUUUGAGACCAGCCUGGCCAACAUGAUGAAACUCCGUCUCUACUAAGAAUACAAAAAUUAGGCAGGCGUGGUGGCAUGCACCUGUAAUUCCAACCACUUGGGAGGCUGAGGCAGGAGAACUGCUUGAACCGGGGAGGCAGAGGUUGCAGUGAGCCAAAAUCACACCGCUGCACUCCAGCCUGGGCAACAGAGUGAGACUGUGUCUCAACAACAACAACAACAACAACAAACAGAAAAAAAAGAAAAAAAAAGGACUUCCCCAUCUCAGAGCAGAAGACAAACCCAGGUGACUCUGAGUCUGCACAGAAAAGGCAAGGGUGACCAAGAGUGAGGAGGUUAAGCACCUGUUGCUUUCAGCUCAGGUCCUGACCACAGCCCUUAAUAAGGACAAACCUCUCAGAUUGCUGCAGCCUUCAAUACGCAUGUUCCUAUAGUGCCUGGCCAAUAAGAAGUACUUACACAGUAGCUGUUAUUAUUGUAAAGGCGGCGCAAAGAGUUAAGGAAGGCCGGUAGCUAAGCUGAAUCUGAGUUGCAUCUUGUAGGCCAUGGUAUGUGAAAGAAGGGCAGGCCAGGAGGGGGAACAGAGUGAGUAAAGCCCAGAGGCAGGGGCAUGGAAAAGCAGGGAGGAGUUAAGCUUGGGGCAAAUAUCCUAAAUGAAGGGGAAUAAAAGGCAACAAAGUUUGCAAGUUGCACCGGGGCCACAUCUUGGAGUUGUUUGAGAACAUGUCCCAUGAGGCUGCAUUUAACACCAGCCACUCGCGCUUCCACCCCAACAGCAGGAGUAUCACAUCCACAUGCCAUGUGCGCAAUUCCUUACUUUAUAUCCUCCUCUAAGAUAAAUCUACCCUCCCUCUUUUUUAAGCAUAAGAGCAUUUAUUCUAAAAGGAAACUUUUGGCCAGGCAUGGUGGCUCACGCCUGUAAUCCCAGCACUUUGGGAGGCCUAGGCUGGUGGAUCAUGAGGUCAGGAGUUCGAGACCAGCCUGACCAACAUGGCAAAACCCCGUCUCUACUAAAAAUACAAAAAUUAGCCGGGUGUGGUGGCACGUGCCUGUAGUCCCACCUACUCGGGAGGCUGAGGCAGAAGAAUUGCUUGAACCCGGGAGGCAGAGGUUGCAGUGAGCUGAGAUCACACCACUGCAGUCCAGCCUGGGCAACAAAGCAAGACUCUGUCUCAAAAAAUAAAUAAAUAAAUAAAUAAAAGGAAACUUUUGCUCACUAAUGGAAAUGGAAGUGGCACCUGUCAUAGGCAGAGACAAAUUGUCAAAGUAAACAACUUUUAAGUCUCACUAGACACUCCUGCCCCAGCAGAAUCUGGUCAAAAGCUAGGUCAGCAAAUUUCAGAGGCAGUAUUAAGGACAAAGUAGCAACAAUCCAAACUUUCUUUUUAGGUACUCAGAAAGACUAACAGAACAUUGAGAAGGGGUGUUAGUCACAUCCCCAAACUGCAAGAGGCCAGAAGAUAGCGAGGGGUCUUUCAAACAAUCUAAAAUCUGAGACCCCAAUGUUGGAAAAGAGAAGGAAGGGAAUGGGUUAAAGUGCCAGUUGCUCCCUCCUCAGAUAGCAGGGCCCUGGACAUCCCUAAGAUGUCCCCUUCCUCUUUCAUCCUUCCCUGAUUCCAGCCUCCCCACCUUCCCCAGGCUGGCUUGCCUGAUUUUGUGAGCUCUUCAGCCGGCUUAAAGUGUAAUUCUGUAUUUCUGAUUCUAUCUGUGUUCCAGGAGGCAUUAUCUCUAUCUCUGUAAUAGCUUCUCAAGCAAAAACAUUUUACUGGGUAAAAGAGCAAGGAAUAGGCAUGACCUGAUGCUGAUUUAAAGCAAGAUUCCAGGCAAGCCCCAGAGCCCUCUCUAAGUAGCCUCUCUCCUUUCUGCUGUCUAACGAAACAGCUCCUAAUGGCCAUGGUAUCAUAUUGUAUCUCAUAUUUACACAGCACUCGGCACACAUUCACUUAUUCAGCGGACAUCCAUUGAGGGCCUAUUAUGUGCCAAGUCUUCUGGGUGCUGGCAAUCAACAGUGAACAAAGACCCGUGAGGUUCUUGCUCUACUUGGGAAAACAGGCAAUAAACUCUGAAACAAGUAAAUAAACACGAUCAUGAUGAGGCUACUGAAAAAGCAAUGUGGUAGCAGCGUGACGAUGAUGUGCCAUGGGAGACAGGUGGCAACAUCAAAAAAGGUAGACUGCCCCCGCCCUCCGAAGAGGUGGCAUGUGAGCAAGAAGGAGCCAGCCAAUGGAAAGCUCUGAAAGCAGAGUCUUUUAAAAACAAAACAAAAUCAAAAAACAAAAACAGGGCUCAAAGAAGAUGUCUGCACUUCUGCCAGACGGGGCAGAAAGAAGAUAAUGGUGCUCCAAUCAGGGAGACUGUGGAGGCAGUACAGGUGACAGGAGGCAGGGAAACGAGAAUUAGCCAGAAACACAGUAGGUUUGCCAUGUCAGUCAGACACUCGAGUGUGUUCUUGCUCUUCUCAACAAACCAUAAAGUAAGGACGAUCAGUGUUUCCCAUUUUACAGACAGGAAAACUGAAGCUCGGGAAGGCUACCCAGGUACAUAGGGGCAGUGGUGGGAUGUGAAUCUAUGGUUUAGGAUGCUGACGCCAGCACUAUCCCACCUGCCUCAUGGUAGAGCAGUGUCCAGACACAGAGGUGGCAAUGCAGCAGCUCAAGUGGCAGCUCCAGCACUGCAUGUGUUUUGUCCGUUCUACAUGGGUUUGGAAAAACUCACCUGAGCUAGCGAUCAACUCUUAAAUAUAACCCUUCACUCAAAAAUCUGGCUGUCUAUCUGAAAAUAUUUGAAGACCUGGUCAUAGUGGGACCAUGAUUUGAAUGACAACAAUGGGCUGGAGCAGUAUCUCUGCCCACCUUGAGAGAGGGAUGGGCACUCUGUUUUUCCACAGCCCCCACCUCUCCCGAUUGCUUGCCCCGGCCCCUUCACUCCUCUCCAUUGCAUUCAUGGCCUCCCUAUGCAUUCGGCUUUGAGGCCCCAGCUCUCUAGUGAUGAAAUAUGUGGGAAGAUCCACAAAGCCCAGCAAACGAGGAGUGACCAGAGGAAUUGAGUUACAGUUCCUCCCUAGAACACUUUCCUGCCUUUCUGAUGUAAUCACUUUGCGCAAACAGUAGGAAAUGUUCAGAAGAGCUGCUACAAGGCGGUGAUUAAGAGGUCAGGCCUGGUUCUUAAUUCUAGCUUCAGCAAGUCCUAUCUGUGGGACUUGGGCAAGUUCUAAAAACCUCAGUUUCUUUAUCUGUAAAGCGCAAAUAAUAAUAAUGCCUACUUUAUAAGUAGGAUUAGGGGAAACAGUAAUUUAGGAAACGUGCUCGGAAUGAUGCUAGUUUCGUGGUGAGUAUCCAAUAGAUGGAGCCGUAGUUGUCUUUCUCAUCUUAGAAAGCAGCUGAUUCUCCCAUGUCAUGACAGUGUUUGUGCAACUCCUCUGGAAUUCUCUCCUUUCUUCCUUAGGAGAGCAUUUUCUCAAUGUUCCUCUUUAUCUUUCUCCAAACACAAAGACAAAUCUAAGAGGAAAAAAAAAAUCUUCAAACUGGGUCGCAGAUACUCAGCUUCUUGUCAAUUCUCAUUAGGGUUUAAAAGCUCAGUCUCCUGCAUAUGCCCAAAGAUAAAGCAAUCCCUUCCAUUCCUAAUUCAAAGAACCAAAAAAAAAAAAAAAACAUGUGGUUGGACCUGGUUGAAUAUAUAAACUUUUGGGGAUGGCAAUAAACUAGGCAAAGUCCUGGUUAUUCAAUUUAUUAGCUCAGUUGUGCAACGUAGAAAUAAACAGAAAAUUACUUAUAAUUUUACAAUAAUAUUCAUUUAGAAACAUCACUUUUCUCCAUAUACGUGUUGCAUGAAACAGCUUUACUCCAUUCUUUGCCACACAUAAGGAGGCCGAGGAGGGAAGAUGGCAUGAGGCCAGGAAUUCAAGGCUGCAGUGAGAUAUGAUUGCACCACUACACUUCAGCCUGGGCGACAGGGUGACACCUCAUCUCUAAAAAAUAAAAUAAAAUAAUAAAAAAAUUUUGGAAAUUUUUAAAGCGUCUGCUCCACAGAGCCACAUUUUGCAUUGUGCAGUUUCGUUUUUCAGACCUUUCUCCUCUCUUCCAUCUGACUGCCCUGAGAUCCAGCACUUUUUGCUUCCACAUCUGAGGCUGUCGCUGGAAACAAGGUCUCCAUCCCAUUUGCAUGACAUGAGCACAGUCGGGAUUUGUAUUCAUUCUGUGGGUGUGUGUAUAUUCGUGCUCUCCACAAAAGAACCACUCAGCAUUGCUUUUUCAAGCCGAGCUUUAAAAGGCUUAUUUGCCAUGACAUCCAGCACUUGUAAUUUGAGGUCAUACCCCGAGGAAGAAUUGCUAAAUCUGUGUAAAAUGUUUCUGACUCCUUUUCUUACAGAUUCUGUCAGAUUAUCUCUUUAAGAAUUCUAAGCCCAUGUUGUUUGAGGUGGUUUUAGGCUAAUGUACAUUCCCCAAACAUUUCUUUGCUGUUCAAAAUAAAGCAAUUGAGAGGGUUCUUCGUAAAAACGAAGCACUUUGCAAGAGCUCAAGACAAAAGACAACUCCCUUUUUUCUAGGGGGUAAUUUUGAGGAUAGAAGAAAAACAGUGUUCUAUGUAAGCCUGUACAAUCACGAGAGCCAUUUGCUGAGGGCCAUGUGUGCGAGUGGUUCGUGUGCUCUCCACCUCCUCUUCUUCCUCCCAGGGGAUGAAAUGAGGCCCAACAAGUGCAAGACAUGGACCAUGUCAGCUCGUGACAGAACAGGGCUGGAACCCAAGUCUGCUAGGCUCAGCCCACUCCCUCCCUGUGCCGAGUUGACAUAUUCUACUUACAUUAAGCCAAGUGCUGGGCUCUGAUUAUACAAAAUCAGAUAAGCCAGGACCCUGUGUUCAAGGAGCUCCCAGGCCUGCUGGGGUGAGAGUGGAGCAGCAAGGAUGGAAGUGCACAGAUGCAAGGGUGGCCAGGCCUAUGGGGAUACAGGCAAGGGAGGCUGAGUGUU
RNAcentral lists this long non-coding RNA (16187 nucleotides) under Homo sapiens (human). RNAcentral's name for it is "HSALNT0098247". Lineage: Eukaryota; Metazoa; Chordata; Mammalia; Primates; Hominidae. The record is from RNAcentral.